UAUCUACUUCCUCCGUCCCAAAAUUCUUUUCUUAGGAUUGUUUAAAAAUGAAUGAAUUAGAAUACUAAAACGUGACUAGAUACAUUUAUAUCUAGACAAAUCUAAGACAACAAUUUUGGGACGGAGGGAGUAUUAG
Non-coding RNA from Hordeum vulgare subsp. vulgare (domesticated barley), 136 nucleotides. Lineage: Eukaryota; Viridiplantae; Streptophyta; Magnoliopsida; Poales; Poaceae. The record is from Rfam.